Molecule: transfer RNA, 77 nt
Filed under: Pseudomonadota bacterium
Lineage: Bacteria; Pseudomonadati; Pseudomonadota
Also listed under: 1 other name
Description: tRNA-Arg
Rfam family: tRNA
About the family: Transfer RNA (tRNA) molecules are approximately 80 nucleotides in length. Their secondary structure includes four short double-helical elements and three loops (D, anti-codon, and T loops).
Source: RNAcentral
GCGCCCGUAGCUCAAUUGGAUAGAGCGCUGCCCUCCGAAGGCAGAGGUUACAGGUUCAACUCCUGUCGGGCGUACCA